GAGCUGACAUGCUGCCACACUCCAAGUUUUUACAGAAGCCAAGGAUGAGGACCUAUAUCUUUUGCUGGAUUUUUCUUUGCAUCCUGUUAUAUUCAGCUUUGGCCUGUUGUAACAGCCACUAUGGUGUGGUGUCCCUUUAAGACACCCAAGUCGAGGGUUGAUGGUGUCAUCAGUUUGUGCCACUGCUCUCUCUCUCUGUGAUGGUGUGGGGACACGUGCCUUCACGCUCAUGCUUAACGAGAGAGGGACUUAUGUUUUCUUUUCCAGACCCUUUUUUUUGUUUUGUUUGCAGCGCUUGGGUUGUAUGAACGCUGGGCAUUUUUGUUGUUGAGCCGCAGCCGUUCAGCCGGGCUUUUAUACGGUUGCUGAAGAGUGCGUAUUAAAGAACCACCGUGGAUUACUGAUACCAGCGUGGGGUCAUUGAUUAGGACCGUGACUUCCAAAAGUGACACAGAGGAUCAAACUGAUACAAGCAGCAAGCACACAGAGAAUGCUUUGGCCUGUUCCCCAUGUUCUUGCGUCUAUUGUAUCAUUAUUGGCACAGUUAGUGGCUUAGCUUUUGGCUUUGUGCUUGUUGGAGGUGCUUUUAUCUUCUGGAAAUGCAAGAAAUCAACAAUUAUGCAAUGCAUUUUCUCAGCAAAAAAGAAUGAUGGUCAACUAAAGACGGCCCUGCUGCAGAGACAAGCUGAGAAGACACAUGAAGAACUGGACGUAUUAUCAGCGCUGAACACUCUAAUGAAGGAACUGAAGAGGGGAUAUCGCCAGCAAAAGGAAGAAUUCAAACAGUUAGAGGAGACAAAUAAAGAGCUGGUAGAAAACAAGGAGAAACUUUGUCUGGUAGAAAAUGAAAUAGCAAAGAGUGAGAAAGAAAAAGAGACGGACAAAACAGAAAGAUACUUGGAGGAAAAACAAAGUCUAUUAAGUGUUCAGCGUAAACUGGAGAAGAGAAAGGAAGAACUAGAGAAUCUACAACUGAACAUGGAGAAACAGCUGCAACAAACAGAGGAUAUAAUGAGCAUGGUGACAGAAAGGAAGACAAAAGUAGAACGCGCUUUAGAGGUGAUUAACUCGCAGCUGGAGGACGCAGAAAGUCAAAGUGAUACGGCUCAUCUUCACACACAGUAGUGACAAUAACCUACUGCUACUUCACUGUUUAUUAAUUGUCCCUUGAAACUAAACUUAGGUUCAUAAUUUGGAUAGAAAAUUUUGUUUUAUAGAAUAGAAUUUCUUUUCUUUUAAACUGUGUACACCACGAUAGCAGAUUUUACCCAAGUAACCAAUAUGUAAUUGAAAAGCAGAGUUUGCAUCAUUAAUUCAAAACAUUUAACAAAGAAUUUUGUAUUAACAUUAACUUAUAUUCAGUGGUUAUAUACAGUAUACUGCUUACACAGUGCCCCAUUUUCAGGGGCUCAAAAGUCACUGGACAAAGUAACACAACUUUAAACAUAAGGAUUGCUUCUAACAGCUGGAAAACUUUCUGUUGUUAAUGGCUGUUUGAAAUCUAGAAACCAUGGACAUCAGCAAGCUGUGUUUUUCUCCUUUGAGAAGCUUUGCAGGGCCUUUGUUGCAGCUGCUUUCAGUUGCUGCUUGUCGGUGUGUCUCUCUGCCUUCAGUUCUCCUCUUCAUUAACUGAAAAGUCACCUUCUAUUUGUUUUUAAAUCAGGUGACUGUAAAGACCUAAUUUUUUGACUUGAGAAAUUGUUGGGUCUUCGUCUUCUUGAGUGUAACUAGUGGCUUAUAUACGGUGUACAUUUUAGGACAUCGUCAGGUCUCAAGAAAAAAGUUGUCAGGUAUCAGACAAAAAAUUGUCAAGUCUCAGUUCUCAAAAAAAAAGUUGUCAGGUAUCAGACAAAAAAUUGUCAGGUCUCAGUUCUCAAGAAAAAAAUUGUCAGGUAUCAGACAAAAAAUUGUCAGGUCUCAGUUCUCAAAAAAAAAAUUGUCAGGUAUCAGACAAAAAAUUGUCAGGUCUCAGUUCUCAAAAAAAAAGUUGUCAGGUAUCAGACAAGUGCUCAGUGUAAACUGGAGAGAGAGAAAGGAAGACCUGGAGAAUCUAAAGCUGAACAUGGAGAAACAGCUACAACAAACAGAGGAAAUAAUCAACAUGAUGACAGAAAGGAAGAAAAAAAUCAUAAAGGUGAUUGACUUUCAAGUGAGAAUAACCUACUGGUACUUCACAGUUUAUUAAUUGUUCCUUGCAACUAAAAUUAGGUGCAUAAUUAGGAUAGAGAAUUUUCUUUUAUAGAGAAUUUUUGUCUUUUUAAGUUUUGCUGUACACCACGAUAGCAGAUUUUAACCCAAACAACCAAUAUGUAAUUGAAAAGCAGAGUUGCCUAAUUCAUUCAGAGCAUUUAACAAACUGUCUUAGGAGUGGAGAAGUGUACUGGUACGCAAUUUCAAGUACAAGGAUGAUAUACAGAGCUGUGGAAAUUAACGAGUUAAAGUUGAUUAAGAAUAUACAAAUCUACAGUACAUGGAAAUUUAAAACAACCAAAAUGAGAAAAAAAAGAAAAACAUAAGAAAUAUAUUUCCUAUGUGGCGCCAGUGUCCGGCAGCCUCGCCUCUGUCAGUGCGCCCCAGGGCAGCUGUGGCUACAUUUGCAGCUUGCCACCACCAGUGUGUGACUGGGUGGAUGACUGAAUGUAGUGUAAAGCGCUUUGGGGUCCUUAGGGACUAAGUAAAGCGCUAUACAAAUACAGGCCAUUUACCAUUUAUUUCAGAAAAGAUGAUCAUUCCAUUGAGAAGGAUUCGAUUUUUUAAAUGAUUCUAUCUCUAACCCAAACAACUUAAUAGAGUAACCAAAUAUCUUAAAAAUAUGUUAUUAGUCAAACCAUGUAACAUGUGAAAUAAAAACAGGACAAAACACAUCAAUUUCUGUGUUUUGUGGUUUGGAAAAUUUUGUUGAUCUAAACACAAAUGUGAUUUUUUCCAUUUAUGUGCUGCCAUAUGUUUUGCGUUGUGAUUACAUUUUACUGAUAGUCUGCUAGUCAAUAAAUAAUUUCUGUGAUUUUACACCAAUAAAAUUCUCUUUACUCUUUUUCUUUAUAUGUUUUGCAAAGAUUAAGAUACAUGGAAUAAAUAAUUCUGUUAUGGCCCUGGGUCAUUUGACCCAGUGUUUUGUGUUUAUUAUGAUGAUCUUGUGUUCUAGUUUAAUUUGUUUAUGUAUUUGGGUUUAGACUUAUUAGGGUUUUGGUUCUGUGCUCCCUCUGCUUAGACGAGAACAGAGGAAGCACACGGGCAGUGUGUUCCCUCUGUUCUCCAUCUGUACUGUGUCUCUGAGUCCAGUCUGUGUAUUUCCUCUUUUACUUUGAAGGUCCCUGUCUGAUGUCAGUGUGUUCAUUUUUGUCAUGUAAAUUAGGUUCAGCCGUGUCUCCCUCCUGUGUGUAGUUUUCCUCGUUUCCCUCCUGUGUGUAUUUAUAGUGUGUGUUCUCUUGUGUGCGUUACUGGUCCAUCUGUGUUUUCUCCAUACAGUUCUCCCAGCUUGUCAUGUUACCUCAGCUCUCCGUUCCCUCAUGUUUCAGGUUUGUAGGUUGGCUCAUAGUUUUUCCCAGUUUAGGUUUGCUUAGUUCUGUUCAUGCCAUCACCGCCUUUUGUUUGUUUGUCACCAUUUGUCACCCCAUCAAUAAAGCUCACUCACUUCA
Astatotilapia calliptera (eastern happy) is the source of this 3638-nucleotide long non-coding RNA. The record is from Ensembl. NCBI's taxonomy places the organism in Eukaryota, Metazoa, Chordata, Actinopteri, Cichliformes, Cichlidae.